AUGAGCACAAAUCCUGAAGGUCCAGAAACAUUCACACAUUAUGAACCACACUGCUGUGUGCAUUUACACCAGGUUAGUGCAGAACAUCUGGCUCCUCCACCAACAGCAGCUCAACCAGGCUUUAACGGGGAAAUGCUGACAUCUGCUGGCACAAAUAUUCACCCUCACUCACCCUCACUCACCCAUACUCACCCAUACUCACCCAUACUCACCCUCACUUACCUUCCCUCACCCUCACUCACCCAUACUCACCCAUACUCACCCUCACUCACCUUCUCUCACCUUCACUCACCUUCUCUCACCCUCACUCACUCUCACUCACCUUUACUCACCUUCAUUCACCUUUACUCACCUUCACUCACCCUCACUCACCCUGACUCACCUUCUCUCACCUUCUCUCACCUUCACUCACCUUCACUCACCUUCACUCACCUUCUCUCACCCUCACUCACCCUCACUUACCUUCUCUCACCUUCACUCACCUUCACUCACCUUCUCUCAUCCUCACUCAUCCUCACUCACCUUCACUCACCCUCAUUCACCUUUACUCACCUUCUCUCUCCCUCACUCACCCUCACUCACCUUCACUCACCUUCACUCACCUUUACUCACCUUUACUCACCUUCUCUCAUUCUCACUCACCUUCUCUCAUCCUCACUCAUCCUCACUCAUCCUCACUCAUCCCUCACUCACUCUCACUCACCUUCUCUCACCUUUACUCACCCUCACUCACCUUCUCUCACCUUCACUCACCUUCUCUCACCCUCACUCACUCUCACUCACCUUUACUCACCUUCAUUCACCCUCUCUCACCUUCACUUACCUUCACUUACCUUCACUCACCUUCUCUCACCUUCACUCACCCUCACUCACCCUGACUCACCUUCUCUCACCUUCACUCACCUUCACUCACCUUCUCUCAUCCUCACUCAUCCUCACUCAUCCUCACUCAUCCUCACUCACUCUCACUCACCUUCUCUCACCUUUACUCACCCUCACUCACCUUCAUUCACCCUCACUCACCUACUCUCACCCUCACUCACCCUCACUCACCUUCUCUCACCUUCACUCACCUUCACUCACCUUCACUCACCUUCUCUCAUCCUCACUCAUCCUCACUCAUCCUCACUCAUCCUCACUCACUCUCACUCACCUUCUCUCACCUUUACUCACCCUCACUCACCUUCAUUCACCCUCACUCACCUUCUCUCAUCCUCACUCACUCUCACUCACCUUCUCUCACCUUUACUCACCCUCACUCACCUUCUCUCACCCUCACUCACCUUCUCUCACCCUCACUCACCCUCACUCACCUUCUCUCACCCUCACUCACCCUCACUCACCUUCUCCGUGGGUUGCUAA
RNAcentral lists this long non-coding RNA (1362 nucleotides) under Betta splendens (Siamese fighting fish). RNAcentral describes it as "lncRNA (ENSBSLG00000021485.1)". Lineage: Eukaryota; Metazoa; Chordata; Actinopteri; Anabantiformes; Osphronemidae. The record is from RNAcentral.